RNAcentral lists this ribosomal RNA (439 nucleotides) under uncultured bacterium. Its description in RNAcentral is "partial 16S ribosomal RNA". It matches the Rfam family "Bacterial small subunit ribosomal RNA", at positions 339 to 795 of the family's 1533-position model. The record is from RNAcentral.
CUACGGGACGCACCAGUGGGGAAUAUUGCACAAUGGGGGAAACCCUGAUGCAGCAACGCCGCGUGGAGGAUGACACAUUUCGGUGCGUAAACUCCUUUUAUAGGUCAAGAUAAUGACGGUAGCCUAUGAAUAAGCGCCGGCUAACUCCGUGCCAGCAGCCGCGGUAAUACGGAGGGCGCAAGCGUUACUCGGAAUCACUGGGCGUAAAGAGCAUGUAGGCGGGUUAAUAAGUCAGAAGUGAAAUCCAAUAGCUCAACUAUUGAACUGCUUUUGAAACUGUUAACCUAGAGUGUGGGAGAGGUAGAUGGAAUUUCUGGUGUAGGGGUAAAAUCCGUAGAGAUCAGAAGGAAUACCGAUUGCGAAGGCGAUCUACUGGAACAUUACUGACGCUGAGAUGCGAAAGCGUGGGGAGCAAACAGGAUUAGAUACCCUCGUAGUC